RNAcentral lists this long non-coding RNA (1232 nucleotides) under Dermacentor andersoni. Its description in RNAcentral is "uncharacterized LOC126533164". Lineage: Eukaryota; Metazoa; Arthropoda; Arachnida; Ixodida; Ixodidae. The record is from RNAcentral.
UGCCGUCGGUUGUGGUGCAAGAGAAGUGUUCCAGCACGCUCAUUUCAAAGAACAUCCCUGGUCUUUCCUCACGAGCAACCAUCUCACGCACGGUCGUCCUGCCGCGUCCUCUAUGCAACAAGCAAGCUUCCUCAUACUCGUGAGCGCGUCGCACGUCUCCGCCAUGGCGGUGUCCUGCACUGUGUUGACGGCGUGUUCAGGCUCUGAAGGACUGCGUGUCGUCACCAUCCCGCGAGAGUCCAUCGGAUGUGCUCCUACAGUUCGCUGUUGCCUUUUUCCACAGGCAUAUUCAACAAGUUUAGCGUAGUAAGGGGGGGCUUUUCUGCUUUGGAAUAAGGGUACGUUGCUCUGCUAAUCGACGGAGCUUCUAGGAAUCGGGUUAAUAUGAAACAGAACAGUAAGAAAAAGUUCUCGUUACGUGGACACCACUGUCCCUAAGGGAUGUCAAUGUUUUCAUGAGCCGAUCUGUAAAUCUUUGGUGGCGAGAGUAAUGGACGCUCGUUGACAUUGUGCACUUUUAUAGUGGCAACUUGGUGUGUGUGUGUGCGUGUGUGUUGGUCUUCGUACACGUGUCGCCCACUCAGUGCUCCAUUUUUUUUUCGAUCGAGAACGCAUGAUACUUGCUCCACUGCUUGCUGGCGCAAAUAUUUCUUUAUGUUGGUAUCAUUUCCAGCGUCACAGUUCCUUCUUUUCCCGGUUUAUUCCUGUUGAGAGGUUCCUGGUUUGAUGGUUUACUGUCGUCUAUGGACAUCCGCUUUUGGAUUGGUCAAACCGCUGGUUUCUUUGACUUUGAUCCUUAGGUUAACCUCUGUGCUCGUUUCAGCAUUCAGCGCAUUCACGGUCGUUCCUGGUUUGAUGGUUUACUAUCGUCUAUGGAUAUCCGCUUUUUGGUUAGUCGAACCGCUGUUUCUUUGGCUUUUAUCCUUGAAUUGACCUCUGUGCUCGUUUCAGCAUUCAGCGCAUGCACGGUCGUUCCUGGUUUGAUUGUUUACUAUCGUCUAUGGACAUCCGCUUUUGGACUGGUCGAGCCGCUGGUUUCUUUGGCUGUGGUCCUUGGGUUGACCUCUGUGCUCGUUUCAGCAUUCAGCGCAUGCACGGUUGUUCCUGGAGGUUCCUGGUUUGGUGGUUUACUAUCGUCUAUGGACAUCCGCGUUUGGAUUGGUCGAACCGCUGGCUUCUUUGGCUUUGAUCCUUGGAUUGACCUCUGUGCUCGUUUCAGCAUUCAGCGCAUG